CCUUAAACCGGCCAAAGCUCUAGCUCGAUAUGCCCUUGCCACUCAAAUCGGCCUCCCCGCACGUCGAAUCUGAACAAAACCAGAAUGAAUACGUCACAUUAUGCUAAGGGAACAAAACUCAAUCGAAAACAAUCAAAAAAUAUCAAAAAUCCCGAAAUUAGCAAAACCCGAGCCCCGGGCCCACUUCUCGAAAUUCAGAAAUUUUUACAUCAACGGGUUCCUUAUCUCCCCACGAGUUCAUACAUACCAUAAGUUCUCAAAUCCGACCCCAAAUGGUCCUCCAAAUCCCUAAUUAGAAUAUCAAAAUCUCAAGCCCUAUUUCUUCCAUUUCGCGCAAGAAUUCAAUGAUUUUCUAGGUGGAUUUCAUAAUAUAAACGAGUUUUAGGUCCGAAAUUCUUACCUCCAAACAUUUCUCCUUGAAUCCCUCUUCAAUCUCCUUCAAAAAGCUCUCAAAAUGAUCAACUAUGGCUGAAAAAUGGACCCAAAUCGCGGACAAGAGGACUUAAACAUUCUGCCCAGGCUUCAUCGAGGUGUACCUUGCGAUGUGCAGGUUGUACAUCCUUUUACCAUUUUUUC
This 576-nucleotide long non-coding RNA is filed under the name Nicotiana tabacum (common tobacco). RNAcentral describes it as "long non-coding RNA (NTAB_LNC012567)". Lineage: Eukaryota; Viridiplantae; Streptophyta; Magnoliopsida; Solanales; Solanaceae. The record is from RNAcentral.